Molecule: non-coding RNA, 474 nt
Organism: Peromyscus maniculatus bairdii (prairie deer mouse)
Lineage: Eukaryota; Metazoa; Chordata; Mammalia; Rodentia; Cricetidae
Source: RefSeq, a predicted model, not a curated record
GUGAAGUACAGAAACAAUAAUAACAUCGCUGGCAGUUUUUCACUAAUGAUUUGGGCUUCAGUUUUUCAUCUAGAGAUUGGAGUGAUAUUGGUGACUACAUUAAGAUGAAGUGUUAAAAUACAUAUGAAGUGUGUAUAGUUCACCAUACCUGGCCAGGACACAAAGAUUCUGUGUAUCUAGUUGCCACAGAUAAUCAAGUCACCAACCUGAGAAGGUGGUGGAGGAUGAGAAUGUGAAGGGGAUUACAAAAGGCUACAGAUGCCUGAGCAGACAAGGAUGCUACCCUGAGAAGUGGAUCUGGAAGCAGAAAGACACAAUUAUGUUACUGCCCAGUGGCCAAGCAUAACUACCUGACCAAUUCCUCCAAUGGAGACAUUGCCAACUCAAUACUGUUGCCUACUUUGCAUAGCCACACUCAGAAGAGUGAGAUCAAGACAGAUUAGUAUGGUACAAAGGGUCCUGGUCAAAGUUCUC